RNAcentral lists this ribosomal RNA (492 nucleotides) under uncultured bacterium. RNAcentral's name for it is "partial 16S ribosomal RNA". It matches the Rfam family "Bacterial small subunit ribosomal RNA", at positions 30 to 507 of the family's 1533-position model. The record is from RNAcentral.
AUUGAACGCUGGCGGCAUGCUUUACACAUGCAAGUCGAACGGUAACAGGCCUUCGGCUGCUGACGAGUGGCGAACGGGUGAGUAAUGCAUCGGAACGUACCCAGAGGUGGGGGAUAACGCAGCGAAAGCUGUGCUAAUACCGCAUGUGAUCUGAGGAUGAAAGCGGGGGACCGAGCAGCAAUGUUUGGCCUCGCGCCUUUGGAGCGGCCGAUGUCGGAUUAGCUAGUUGGUGGGGUAAAGGCCUACCAAGGCGACGAUCCUUAGCUGGUCUGAGAGGACGACCAGCCACACUGGGACUGAGACACGGCCCAGACUCCUACGGGAGGCAGCAGUGGGGAAUUUUGGACAAUGGGCGCAAGCCUGAUCCAGCAAUGCCGCGUGCGGGAAGAAGGCCUUCGGGUUGUAAACCGCUUUUGGCAGGAACGAAACGGUGUCCGCUAAUACCGGGCGCUAAUGACGGUACCUGCAGAAUAAGCACCGGCUAACUACGUG